Non-coding RNA from Megalops atlanticus (tarpon), 72 nucleotides. Lineage: Eukaryota; Metazoa; Chordata; Actinopteri; Elopiformes; Megalopidae. The record is from the annotation of a GenBank genome assembly.
GGGUCAUUGGUCUAGGGGUACGAUUUUCGCUUAGAAUGCUGGAAGUCCCGGGUCCAAAUCGCGGAUAAACCC